RNAcentral lists this ribosomal RNA (848 nucleotides) under uncultured bacterium. Its description in RNAcentral is "bacterial SSU rRNA". It matches the Rfam family "Bacterial small subunit ribosomal RNA", at positions 59 to 915 of the family's 1533-position model. The record is from RNAcentral.
CAGUCGAGGGGUAUAGUAGCAAUACUAGAGACCGGCGCACGGGUGCGUAACGCGUAUGCAAUCUACCUUUUGCAGAGGGAUAGCCCAGAGAAAUUUGGAUUAAUACCUCAUAGUAUUAUAGUAUGGCAUCAUAUUAUAAUUAAAGUCACAACGGCAAAAGAUGAGCAUGCGUCCCAUUAGUUAGUUGGUAAGGUAACGGCUUACCAAGACUACGAUGGGUAGGGGUCCUGAGAGGGAGAUCCCCCACACUGGUACUGAGACACGGACCAGACUCCUACGGGAGGCAGCAGUGAGGAAUAUUGGACAAUGGGCGCAAGCCUGAUCCAGCCAUGCCGCGUGCAGGAUGACGGUCCUAUGGAUUGUAAACUGCUUUUGUACAGGAAGAAACACCCCCUCGUGAGGGGGCUUGACGGUACUGUAAGAAUAAGGAUCGGCUAACUCCGUGCCAGCAGCCGCGGUAAUACGGAGGAUCCAAGCGUUAUCCGGAAUCAUUGGGUUUAAAGGGUCCGUAGGCGGCUUUAUAAGUCAGUGGUGAAAUCUCCCCGCUCAACGGGGAAACGGCCAUUGAUACUGUAAGGCUUGAAUUAUUAGGAAGUAACUAGAAUAUGUAGUGUAGCGGUGAAAUGCUUAGAGAUUACAUGGAAUACCAAUUGCGAAGGCAGGUUACUACUAAUGGAUUGACGCUGAUGGACGAAAGCGUGGGUAGCGAACAGGAUUAGAUACCCUGGUAGUCCACGCCGUAAACGAUGGAUACUAGCUGUUGGGGGCAACUUCAGUGGCUAAGCGAAAGUGAUAAGUAUCCCACCUGGGGAGUACGUUCGCAAGAAUGAAACUCAAAGGAAUUGACG